CCUACGGGUGGCAGCAGUGAGGAAUAUUGGUCAAUGGACGAGAGUCUGAACCAGCCAAGUAGCGUGAAGGAUGACUGCCCUAUGGGUUGUACACUUCUUUUAUAAAGGAAUAAAACGAGGCACGUGUGCCUCUUUGCAUGUACUUUAUGAAUAAGCAUCGGCUAACUCCGUGCCAGCAGCCGCGGUAAUACGGAGGAUCCGAGCGUUAUCCGGAUUUAUUGGGUAUAAAGGGAGCGUAGAUGGGUUGUUAAGUCAGUUGUGAAAGUUUGCGGCUCAACCGUAAGAUUGCAAUUGAUACUGGCAGUCUUGAGUACAGUUGAGGUAGGCGGAAUUCGUGGUGUAGCGGUGAAAUGCUUAGAUAUCACGAAGAACCCCGAUUGCGAAGGCAGCUUACUAAACUGUGACUGACAUUGAUGCUCGAAAGUGUGGGUAUCAAACAGGAUUAGAUACCCGGGUAGUC
RNAcentral lists this ribosomal RNA (460 nucleotides) under uncultured bacterium. Its description in RNAcentral is "partial 16S ribosomal RNA". It matches the Rfam family "Bacterial small subunit ribosomal RNA", at positions 338 to 795 of the family's 1533-position model. The record is from RNAcentral.